GGCCCGCUGGCCAAAUGGUAAGGCGCCAGAUUUCGGGAAUGAAAUACUCUGGAGAUUGUGCGUUCGAGCCGCACGUGGGUCG
RNAcentral lists this transfer RNA (82 nucleotides) under Bombardia bombarda. It matches the Rfam family "tRNA". Rfam says of the family: Transfer RNA (tRNA) molecules are approximately 80 nucleotides in length. Their secondary structure includes four short double-helical elements and three loops (D, anti-codon, and T loops). The record is from Rfam by way of RNAcentral. Lineage: Eukaryota; Fungi; Ascomycota; Sordariomycetes; Sordariales; Lasiosphaeriaceae.